AAAAAUACCCCUUUAGAACCAGAAUGUUCUGGUCAGCCUCCCCUUGGCAGUCACUAUGAGAGUAGAUGGAGCUCUGGAGUCCCCACAGGGCCAUCUGCUAGGCUCCAAGCAAGCAUCAUUUGUGGAGCAUACAAUACACUCAUCCAAUCACAGGUCAGACAGGGCUGUCACCCCAAUAAAGAGACACCUGGGGUACCAAGUAGCCUGAGAUGCUCCAGAGAAAUGCAGUGCCAGUCCCAGGGUAAGUCCCUAAACUACACAGGCCAUGGCUCUUAGCUGAAAGUGAGAGACAUCUUAGCUGGUGGAGGGCUUAUUUCUGAAAUUGUUUCCACCCAUGGUCGCUUUACCUUUGAGAACAUUGAGUGUGACCCCAGAUAUAUAGGGAAUUAAAUAGGAGCACAAGUCAAACACCUACUGAUAAUCAUAAAGAAACCUAAUGUAAAAUAAAUCUUUGAUAUAUAUGCAAUUUUACGAUUGAUUAAAGAUUAAAAUAAAUUUGCAUACUAAUGAG
This 511-nucleotide long non-coding RNA is filed under the name Rattus norvegicus (Norway rat). RNAcentral describes it as "long non-coding RNA NONRATT020811". The record is from RNAcentral. Lineage: Eukaryota; Metazoa; Chordata; Mammalia; Rodentia; Muridae.